This 253-nucleotide ribosomal RNA is filed under the name uncultured bacterium. Its description in RNAcentral is "partial 16S ribosomal RNA". It matches the Rfam family "Bacterial small subunit ribosomal RNA", at positions 524 to 776 of the family's 1533-position model. The record is from RNAcentral.
UACGUAGGGGGCAAGCGUUGUCCGGAUUUAUUGGGCGUAAAGAGCGUGUAGGCGGCUUUGCAAGUCCGUUGUGAAAACUCGAGGCUCAACCUCGAGACGCCGGUGGAAACUGCAAAGCUAGAGUCCGGAAGAGGAGAGUGGAAUUCCUGGUGUAGCGGUGAAAUGCGUAGAUAUCUGGAGGAACACCGGUGGCGAAGGCGGCAUCCUGGACCAACACUGACACUGAGGAGCGAAAGCCAGGGGAGCAAACGGG